GUAGGGAAUCUUCCACAAUGGACGAAAGUCUGAUGGAGCAACGCCGCGUGAGUGAAGAAGGGUUUCGGCUCGUAAAACUCUGUUGUUAGAGAAGAACAGCCGUGAGAGCAACUGCUCACGGUAUGACGGUAUCUAACCAGAAAGUCACGGCUAACUACGUGCCAGCAGCCGCGGUAAUACGUAGGUGGCAAACGUUGUCCGGAUUUAUUGGGCGUAAAGGGAGCGCAGGCGGUUUAUUAAGUCUGAUGUGAAAGCCUUCGGCUUAACCGGAGAAGUGCAUCGGAAACUGAUAAACUUGAGUGCAGAAAAGGAUAGUGGAACUUCAUGUGUAGCGGUGAAAUGCGUAGAUAUAUGAAGGAACACCAGUGGCGAAGGCGGCUAUCUGGUCUGUAACUGACGCUGAGGCUCGAAAGCAUGGGUAGCAAACAGGAUUAGAUACCCUAGUAGUCC
This 450-nucleotide ribosomal RNA is filed under the name uncultured bacterium. Its description in RNAcentral is "bacterial SSU rRNA". It matches the Rfam family "Bacterial small subunit ribosomal RNA", at positions 354 to 796 of the family's 1533-position model. The record is from RNAcentral.